GAAUUACGCUCCCUUUUCUUCUUCUCUGGUUUCUAUAUGUGAAGUGAAACAGACUACAGAGAACAAUAAGCAAUGUCGCUUCAGCAAAACCCCCACCAAAUUCGACCGUUGAUUUCCUACCCAAUUCAAAAUUUCCCAAGCUCUUUCCAAACCUCAUCUCCAACCCUCCAUUUCUCCACCAAAACACCUCCAAAGCCAAUCCACUUCCACCCAUUGACGCCAAAAUCCCAACCCGCCCACCAUCCGGCCCCCCAAACCAGAACCCAAGAGGACGGCAUCCCCGCCGAGGAUGUCAAAAUCCUCGCCAAAUUCAAGUCCAGGUACAAUUACAUUCGUGUCCUCGAAGUUUCUCGAAGAGCCGACCACCCCUUUGCUGGGUCAAGGCUUCUCCUUCUUGACAACCCUGGAAACAUCCACAGCAUCUCCUUCAUUUUCAAGUCCCUCACCAGCACUUACUUUGACGUCUUCGCCACUUUGCCGCCGAUUUUGCCUCCUGGACCAGUCGGAAUUCUUGGGUUCGGGGCGGGUUCUGCCGCAAGGUCCAUUCUUGAGCUGUACCCAGAAGUUGCGGUUCAUGGGUGGGAGCUUGACCCGUCUGUGAUUGCUGUGGGCAGAGAGUACUUUGGUCUCUCAAAGCUGGAAAGACAGUACCCAGGUAGGCUUAUAAUUCAUGUUGGAGAUGCAUUCAAAGCUAGCACUAGAGAUGGGUUUUCAGGGAUUUUGGUGGAUUUGUUUUGUAAAGGCAGUUUGGUUCCUGAGCUGCAAGACCCAAAUACUUGGGAGAUGCUCAGAAAGUGUUUGAGAAAAGGCGGGAGAAUAAUGGUCAAUGUAGGAGGUAGUUGUGUGGAGGCUGAGGACUCAACGAGAGAUGGGAAAGUAGUUAUGGAAGACACAUUGAAGGCUAUGCAUCGGGUUUUCGGCAACAAGCUUUUCGUAUUGGGCCUUGGGAAUCGACAGGAAGAUAGCUCCCUUGCUCUUACUGGUGAUUUGCCUGAUCUUGAAGCUUGGAAGAAGAUGCUGCACCGUUCCUUAGCUCGUUAUGUUGAUAAGUGGAAGCCAUUUAGCGGUUAAAUGGCCUUCUGCAGGUUCUUGUUCUUCCAAGAUGAGCAGUUUUAUGGAAAAGUUUGUUUUAGCUGUUGUGGCAGUAUAUCUUCUUGUGGGUGUUUCUUCUGCAACUUCUACAUUACUUCGUCAUGGUGGCGAGAAGAGUUUGUCGCACAUUGACUGCAGAGAUGGCAUGAGAAAGAUUAUUGGAAGAAAAGGAGGUAGCUUUGGAUGUCAAAGUCACAUUGUUAGCAAGAAUACAGUGCCCAUCCGCAGCCUAAGAAUAAUUGUUACAACCUCUCCGCCUUCACCGACUAAAAAUCCACGAAAGUCUCAGGGCGCUCCUGCACCUCCUCCGCUUAUUAUAUGAUGGCCGGACACCUAUGUUUAUUUCUUUUCCCAUUGUUUCCUAG
This is an RNA transcript of Prunus avium (sweet cherry), 1457 nucleotides long. It is a transcript of the gene named S-adenosyl-L-methionine-dependent methyltransferases superfamily protein, with no coding region annotated. NCBI's taxonomy places the organism in Eukaryota, Viridiplantae, Streptophyta, Magnoliopsida, Rosales, Rosaceae. The record is from RefSeq and is a predicted model, not a curated record.